Molecule: ribosomal RNA, 274 nt
Filed under: uncultured bacterium
Lineage: Bacteria
Description: partial 16S ribosomal RNA
Rfam family: Bacterial small subunit ribosomal RNA
Source: RNAcentral
AUACGGAGGGUGCAAUCGUUAUCCGGAAUCAUUGGGUUUAAAGGGUCCGUAGGCGGGCAAUUAAGUCAGAGGUGAAAUCCCACAGCUCAACUGUGGAACUGCCUUUGAUACUGGUUGUCUUGAGUUAUAGUGAAGUAGAUAGAAUGUGUAGUGUAGCGGUGAAAUGCAUAGAUAUUACACAGAAUACCGAUUGCGAAGGCAGUAUACUAACUGUUGUCUGACGCUAAUGGACGAAAGCGUGGGGAGCGAACAGGAUUAGAAACCCCAGUAGUCC